Molecule: ribosomal RNA, 1313 nt
Filed under: Escherichia coli
Lineage: Bacteria; Pseudomonadati; Pseudomonadota; Gammaproteobacteria; Enterobacterales; Enterobacteriaceae
Description: partial 23S ribosomal RNA
Rfam family: Bacterial large subunit ribosomal RNA
Source: RNAcentral
GUGUGACUGCGUACCUUUUGUAUAAUGGGUCAGCGACUUAUAUUCUGUAGCAAGGUUAACCGAAUAGGGGAGCCGAAGGGAAACCGAGUCUUAACUGGGCGUUAAGUUGCAGGGUAUAGACCCGAAACCCGGUGAUCUAGCCAUGGGCAGGUUGAAGGUUGGGUAACACUAACUGGAGGACCGAACCGACUAAUGUUGAAAAAUUAGCGGAUGACUUGUGGCUGGGGGUGAAAGGCCAAUCAAACCGGGAGAUAGCUGGUUCUCCCCGAAAGCUAUUUAGGUAGCGCCUCGUGAAUUCAUCUCCGGGGGUAGAGCACUGUUUCGGCAAGGGGGUCAUCCCGACUUACCAACCCGAUGCAAACUGCGAAUACCGGAGAAUGUUAUCACGGGAGACACACGGCGGGUGCUAACGUCCGUCGUGAAGAGGGAAACAACCCAGACCGCCAGCUAAGGUCCCAAAGUCAUGGUUAAGUGGGAAACGAUGUGGGAAGGCCCAGACAGCCAGGAUGUUGGCUUAGAAGCAGCCAUCAUUUAAAGAAAGCGUAAUAGCUCACUGGUCGAGUCGGCCUGCGCGGAAGAUGUAACGGGGCUAAACCAUGCACCGAAGCUGCGGCAGCGACACUGUGUGUUGUUGGGUAGGGGAGCGUUCUGUAAGCCUGUGAAGGUGUGCUGUGAGGCAUGCUGGAGGUAUCAGAAGUGCGAAUGCUGACAUAAGUAACGAUAAAGCGGGUGAAAAGCCCGCUCGCCGGAAGACCAAGGGUUCCUGUCCAACGUUAAUCGGGGCAGGGUGAGUCGACCCCUAAGGCGAGGCCGAAAGGCGUAGUCGAUGGGAAACAGGUUAAUAUUCCUGUACUUGGUGUUACUGCGAAGGGGGGACGGAGAAGGCUAUGUUGGCCGGGCGACGGUUGUCCCGGUUUAAGCGUGUAGGCUGGUUUUCCAGGCAAAUCCGGAAAAUCAAGGCUGAGGCGUGAUGACGAGGCACUACGGUGCUGAAGCAACAAAUGCCCUGCUUCCAGGAAAAGCCUCUAAGCAUCAGGUAACAUCAAAUCGUACCCCAAACCGACACAGGUGGUCAGGUAGAGAAUACCAAGGCGCUUGAGAGAACUCGGGUGAAGGAACUAGGCAAAAUGGUGCCGUAACUUCGGGAGAAGGCACGCUGAUAUGUAGGUGAAGUCCCUCGCGGAUGGAGCUGAAAUCAGUCGAAGAUACCAGCUGGCUGCAACUGUUUAUUAAAAACACAGCACUGUGCAAACACGAAAGUGGACGUAUACGGUGUGACGCCUGCCCGGUGCCGGAAGGUUAAUUGAUGGGGU